This is a long non-coding RNA of Oncorhynchus keta (chum salmon), 465 nucleotides long. RefSeq lists it as uncharacterized. The transcript has 3 exons. The record is from RefSeq and is a predicted model, not a curated record. Lineage: Eukaryota; Metazoa; Chordata; Actinopteri; Salmoniformes; Salmonidae.
GAGAGUCACUGUAAUCUCUUCUUAUGCACUCUGGACAUGCGUUGGUAGUGCCCAAGUCUCAGGGCUCUAUUGUCCCUCCAUCAGGUCCCAUUGGCCUGGUACUCAGGGCUCUAUUGUCCCUCCAUCAGGUCCCAUUGACCUGGUACUCAGAGCUCUAUUGUCCCUCCAUCAGGUCCCAUUGGCCUGGUACUCAGGGCUCUAUUGUCCCUCCAUCAGGUCCCAUUGGCCUGGUACUCAGAGCUCUAUUGUCCCUCCAUCAGGUCCUAAUGGCCUGGUUCUCAGGGCUCUAUUGUCCCUCCAUCAGGUCCCAUUGGCCUGGUACUCAGAGCUCUAUUGUCCCUCCAUCAGGUCCUAAUGGCCUGGUUCUCAGGGCUCUAUUGUCCCUCCAUCAGGUCCCAUUGGCCUGGUACUCAGAGCUCUAUUGUCCCUCCAUCAGGUCCUAAUGGCCUGGUUCUCAGGGCUCUA